Molecule: transfer RNA, 85 nt
Filed under: Halobacteriales archaeon
Lineage: Archaea; Methanobacteriati; Methanobacteriota; Halobacteria; Halobacteriales
Description: tRNA-Leu
Rfam family: tRNA
About the family: Transfer RNA (tRNA) molecules are approximately 80 nucleotides in length. Their secondary structure includes four short double-helical elements and three loops (D, anti-codon, and T loops). Further hydrogen bonds mediate the characteristic L-shaped molecular structure. tRNAs have two regions of fundamental functional importance: the anti-codon, which is responsible for specific mRNA codon recognition, and the 3' end, to which the tRNAs corresponding amino acid is attached (by aminoacyl-tRNA synthetases). tRNAs cope with the degeneracy of the genetic code in two manners: having more than one tRNA (with a specific anti-codon) for a particular amino acid; and 'wobble' base-pairing, i.e. permitting non-standard base-pairing at the 3rd anti-codon position.
Source: RNAcentral
GCGCAGGUAGCUAAGCCAGGCCAAAGGCGCAGGGUUGAGGGCUCUGUCUCGUAGGAGUUCCCAGGUUCGAAUCCUGGUCUGCGCA